CUCAAAUAAAUUGGUUAGUCUCUAAGGUGCCACAAGUACUCCUUUUCUUUUUGCGAAUACAGACUAACACGGCUGUUACUCUGAAACCUGUAAAUGUUAAGAAACGAAAGUUAGUCCUUUAUUGUGACAUUGUAGGAAUGAAAAUGUAGAAUAUAAUGAAGUAACCCUUUUAUUACGUUUCAGGGUAACAAAUGACGGUAAAAUAAAGUUUCGGAGAAGGUAAGUGCAAGGAACUAGACUGUCCCGGAGCAAGAUCGCUUUAAAAAAACAGAGAGAAAAAGACCCAUGUAUAUGUAAUUACAAAAUGUGAUCUGUAUGAUUUGCUUAAGUAAAUUAGCGGGUGUUUGAAAAUGUGCUUGUCACUAUAUAUUGAAUUAAGCAUAUAUUGCUCUAAGUAAUGAAAUAAAAUAAUCUGGAUUUGGUCAGCAUCUACCUUAUUGUUGGUAGUCUAUCUAUAAGUCUUACCCCGUUUCUUGUUUUGGAACAUUCGCCAUAACACUCAACCAGGGAUGUGAUUUUUUUGAAAUAUAUUGUUUUAAUAAUGAACCAUAUGUGUGGGGAGGAGGAACAAUUCGCUGAAGCAGUGGCUCUCAACCUUGUCAGACUACUGCACCCCUUUCAGGAGUCUGAUUUGUCUUGUACCGCAAGUUCACCUCACUUAUAAACUACUUGCUUACAAAAUCAGACAUACACAUACAAAUGUGUCACAGCACACUAUUACAGAACAAUUGCUUACUUUCUCACGUUUACCAUAUAACUAUAAAGUAAAUCAAUUGGAAUAUAAAUUUUGUACUUACAUUUCAGUGUAUUGUAUAUAGAGCAGUAUAAACAAGUAAUUGCAUGAAAUUUUAGUUGGUACUGACUUCACUAGUGCGUUUUACAUAGCCUGUUGUAAAAGGAGGCAAAUAUCUAGAGAGUUGAUGUACCCCCUGGAAGACCUCUUUGUACCCCUAGGGGUAUGUGCAUUAAAGAACUAGUAAUACAAUUUGUUUAAUGCUUAUUUUAGAAAGGAAAUAUUGUUUGUCUCCUCUUUUGGUUCCACCUGUCAAAAUAUUUGACUGCUGGGAACAACUAAAUAUCUGUUUGAUGGACAACUUGUUUGAAAGAAGGUAAACAUGAAAAUCAUCCUACUGAUGUCAGAUUUCUUAGCAUUCUAUUUCCUGAGGAACUUUUACUUUGAAAUGUCAUGGAAGCUAUAGUUUUGGUUGUAUUUUUUCCCGAGAAUCGUAGGGUAAUCGGUUUCCUGUUCCUAUCAUAUUAAAUCUUGCUUAGAUUUGCACGUAUAAUUCACAUGGCUCUUUAUGCUGACUCAUUUUUAGAGGUAGGUUUAUGUUACGUUUCUAUAGUGGCAUAAUUAUAUUAAGAUUCUCUUUGUUAACUACUAAAAAAUUUAAUUGUUUAUCAAUGCAAAGGUCAGCACAAGUACCACUUUGCAGAAUGACUGCAGUUUCCAGUGCCCUUUGCAUUGUAUAACGGAUUAGAUGUUCAUUUUGGUUUAUGCCAGUUAUCUCACUAAAUAAAAGAGAGUCACUAACUGAGUCUCUGAUUAGGAUUUACAGGCUCAAAACCACAUUCUUCCAAUGGAUCUCGGGGUGCACGGGGCAUACACGUUAUGGCUCCAUAUGGUAAAUAUUUCAAAUGUUCAGAAUACUGGUUGUCUUCCUGUACUCUUAUUUUCCCCUGGAACAUAAACAGUUACUCAACAUUUAAUAUAAGGUACAGAAUUACCUCACAUUUUAACAGAAGUCGAACUACAAUUUUUAAAAAAGUUCAAAGGAUCAGAAAAAGGGCAUCAUUGUUAUAAAAAAGCGUCUCUACCUUUGUUUUAAAGAAUAAAUAGCAAUUUUGAAAUAGAUGUAGAGACACCGACACUCUUGUCGAUGUGAUGACUCUGUAUAAACAGGAUAUCAAAUACUUGACUAUUUGACUCCCUAGUGACGUAAACAGUGUAACUCCAGCAAGACGGUAUAGUAAAAAUGAAGUAUUUUAAAAAUACUUCAGCAAAUGACACAGACUCAAGAACUCUGGGCAAAUAGUGUAUUCAAAGCUGUUUCCUAUUUAGGUUUUGGCUUCCAGAAAAUGGGCAAUUAUUAUCAAAAAUGCUAAAACUUCACAUGUGGAGAAUAUCAUUAUCUUUUUGAGUCAUUGGACAUUCAAAAAGACAGAAAUUAUGAUGACACCAACCCGGAAAUUAACUUGUAAAUUGCUGACAAAUAAAUGAAACUUUCCAGAUCUAGUAGCUAAUUGAAAUAAUUGAGCUAGUUUUUCCUCUUGCAACACUAAAACCGAAAUGUGUGUUUUUGACAUUUCAAACUUUCAUUUUUGAUAGAUCAUUCAUCGAGAGCCAGAGAGCUGUCAUUUAAAUAUCUCUUUCCCUUAAAGUAUGAAUUAAUAUCGACGGUGCAAAUGAGUUUAUCUUAAUCGUCUGUAGGUAGCUUUGUUUAUACACAGAAAACUGGUUUGCAGUGCAUACAAAGUAUAUUUCUUCAAUUCUUGCCAGGGAUACCCAGCUGAGAUAGAAAGUCAUAGGAUGUAUUUGUCCUAUCACGUUUUCGGGGCCCAUUAAGUAGGUUUUUGGUUAUUUAGUUUUUUGUUUUAAUGAGGAAUACGUUAGAGGAGUUCUAAAAAUGAAGCGCUUAUCCGAAACUCAUAUUUUGCACUGAAUACUGCUCUGCCUAUAUCUUAAUUGUUAUGGCAUAUGAAGUGAAGAAUGACCAUAACUGAAAGUCUGGCAACAUUUACAUUGCCAGCCCUGUUCUUCGAACAGCCCAGCCCAACAGAUAGCAUUAUCACUUUUGCAAAGUGACAAAUACUUCUCUCUAAAUAAUUAAUGUUAGCUUAGUUGUUGCACCCACGGCUUAUCUCUAUCCCGCAGACACCCUAACCAGUGAAACCAGUGGACGUGCAGCAGGCAGCGGCUGCUUUGAGACCUUCCUUUCCUCUUUUCCUUCUCUUCAGAAUAUUGCAGUUAAAAUGUUGAUAUUUUGGUGAUUCUUACAUUUAACAUCUGCAGCUGCUGGUGGUCAGUGUUUACAAUAAUACACCCUGUAAAGAAGGUCUUUUAUCUCCUGCCUUGGUACGAAAAGUAUGAAGAAAAUAGAAAAAUAAUUUGGUGUUUAGCCAUUUGAUCAGACGUUACACCUAGAACACUAUUUGCGCUAAUAUUUAACUUUUCUGAGGGGUGGGGAGGUAAGCUGGAAUUUCCCCAUGAAUUAUAAAACUAUAAAUAAUAUAGCUGGAUUGAAAAAUGAUGAAAAAUAAUUUGGGGAUAAAAUUCAGCAGACCCAGCAAUUUUGUACUUUAUUUUAUUUACUUAUUUAUUUAAAUUUUUGAUUGAAAGGGCAUCUGAUUUCUAAUGUAAGUGUCACAUUGGCCGUGCGCUUUUCAGCAGCAGGAUUCUUAACCCUUCGGGUUGCAGCUACAUUGCAAUUAAAAGUUGCUGAAAUAUGUCACUAUAUUCUAGGUUUGUUUGACUAACAUGGAAAGCGUAGGGAUGAAUUCUUUGCUACAGAAAAUCCUCAGUAUGCAUUUGAAAAAACCGACCUGACUGCGGAAGACAAAAAGAAGAGUUGUGUUUUGUGGAUAUACUGCACUGAGGCAAUCAGUAAGAUCUGAAAGGUGGGCAAGCGUUUGUGAGAAGCAGCCUCAGAAGUGCUGACAACCUAUCACAGAAAAGCCACACAGGAGACACCCGCGUUUGACACACUUCUGCGUCUGGAAAUCUGAAGCGAUCCGAGCAGCUGUGAGGAAGACAAGAGCAAGAGAGAAUAGUUUUGAAGUGACAGCUGGAGAGAACCACUGUGUUCAGAAGGUCUAAACUCCUUAUUUCUCUCAGUCCUUAGGAGCGCUUAUUACACGCCCGCCCGGUAACUGGGAUAUGCAGAAGGCAUAUGCAAGCACUUAUUUUCUCGCAGCCUUGCAUCUGGGAUCUAUUCAAUAAUACAAUGAACAUUUUAGGAAAAGUACUGCUCUUAGAGCGUCCUUCAACUUGUGACAGAAAGGGGGAUCUGAUGAUAGUGUGUGAGUGUUGGGAUGUCGGUGCCUUAACAAUGUUCCCUCGGUCUACUCUAGACGCCUAUAUGCGGCCAAUAAACUGAUGUAAAAAUCAAGGCAUGUCACUUCCUGUAUUUUAUGAGCGUUUGGGCCUUUCACAACAACCAGGAAACACUACAGAGCACCAAGAUCUGGAGAGGUUCCUACAAUCUAAAACUCAGAUUCUGUUCUCAAUGACACCAAGCACUGGUGAAAGUUGAUGAGUUGACUGCACUGGAAACUCAGGUUUUCUCUUUAACCAUAUUGCAGUAUGGCAGGCUUUUCGACAUUAUCCCUGUUCAUUGGCCCUGACCUGGAAAGCUAUGUACAGGUCGUGACUGGAGGGGAUUCGCAGAGGUCCUGCGUGCUGUGAACCUGGGGGUCCCAACACCCUGAAGUAGCCUUUGAGGGAGACCUGUUUGAGGAAGCAGAUGAGGCACCCAAGAACCCUAACCCGAAUGGCCAAGCAACCAGAGAUUCUGACUGCGACCCCCUCAGAUGAAGAGGUCACCCUAGGGAACCCGUUUGGGAAGAGGCCGAGUUUGGGGGCAUACUUCAGCCUGGACCAAAGGGAGGAUCCCAUGCUCAGUUGGGCCUCUGAACCACUGACUUGCAUCAAUUGGACCAUGACUGAGCCCCAUCGGACAACAAUAUAUGCCCACUUCGAAUUGACCGGUGACCACCUUUACUGGAUCAACCGUGAUCCUUGGACAUAUGACACUUGAGCGCAGCUCGUGGUACCCUGAUGUCACUGAUGUGUGGUCUUGCAACUCACCCAUGACAUUUCAGCGUCCGGCCACCUGUGUCAUGAGAAAAUACUAGUGCAAGUUCUGGCCUGGUUCUUCUGGUUAAACAAUAAUAAUUUAUAGAGCAGUUCAUCUCCAAGUGUCCCAAAGGGCUUUACAGAAUAGUGCUUAAUUCUGCGCUCAAUGAGAGCAGCAUGAGCAGGAUCUUGCCUUACAAAUGUAAUGCACCACAGAACGCAGCCACCUCUGUUGUGGAGGUCAGUGGACAGUGCCCAGCACAUUACUCCGAAGUGUGUGGGUGUGAAGUUUGAUCAAGUCACCAGAUCAAACUCUUACUCUUACACAAAGCACCGUGGAAUAUUCAAUGUUCAGGCAAAGCAGAUCGGACCUUCAUUUUGAAGAUCUUAUCCAAAAGACCUCUGAUUGCAAAUGUAAAUGUACAUUUAUUUGAAAAGGUACCAUCAAACAAUACCUCAUACUUAAAUGCACUUGCAAUCAAAGUGGUGUACAAGACCAUCCUACUACUGAAUAACAGGAUUUCAGCCAUCCCAGUCUAUUCAGGGUUAGUGCUGUGCAUUGCCAUGCUAAAGAGCUGAGUUCAGUCUCUGGGCUGGCAGGGGAUGAGUGCAGUGUGGAAAUAGAAUGUUUAGCUUCUGAGAUCAGGAAAGAAGUGUCAUUCUUAAGAAUGGUGCUGAUGAGCUCCGAAGCCAGUCCCACAUUGCUUUCCUCAGCCACAAGGAAAAAAAGUUCAACUUGAGAUCUGAGAAAUGGUGGAAUGAAAACGGGGAUUUUCCGGGCUCCAAGAGAGCAGAAGAAAAGCCAUAUAGGUCUGUAUAACUCACUUGCUGCUCUCCAAAUGUCAGGUUUGCUUUCUUACAUUUUGGAUAUUGCAACAACUUAAAAAAUCACAAAGAAUGGCAUUUUGAGAAGUCAUAUUACUACAGAUGGGUGGAAGUGUUGCAAGUGACUUCAGUAGGAGCAAGUCUGAGCCCAUAAUGGAACUGUCCGUUGCAAUGUUUGAUAGAGUACAGCACAGAAGUACUUCUUUAGACCAGUUACCCAUCUUUUAUUGUCAUGAUCUGCCAACAAAUAUCUGUCACCAUUUCCGUAUAUUAGUUUCUUCUCUGAGGUGGCCUCUAUGUUUUUCCACUUGUGGGAGUCUACUAAGCAGUACAAACCCUAGAAGAAUAGACUGAGGCAUUUUAAUUAUACAGCUACUGUAGAACUGUCUUCAUAAUCAUACAUCAGAUCUGGAUGCCAAAUCAAGAAAGUGGUGCUGAGUAAAGGUGCAAACAGAAUUCCAGGUAUCAGCCCUGCAGAUUUCUGUGAUGGAAACAUUGUGGAGGCAAGCCAUCAAUACCACCUUAGCUGUGUCAGCUGCAUGAAGAACUCCUUUUGAGCUCCACUAAUCCUUAUUGAAAGUGGACCAGAGGUCUCCACAAUUGGAAUGCUCUGCCCAGGUGUGACCUUGAAUCUGAGAAGAGCUUGACACCAACAGGGUGAGGUUUAGACAGAGGUCUUCCUGGUGCUGACAUAAUUGCUAGUACUGAGAGAGAUGCACUGGUAGCAUCAGUAGGUCCCUGCUGAGAAACUGCUUGACAUUGAGUGUACCUUCGCACCAGCAAGACCCAGACAACAAAGUUAGUUUUUCUCACACCAGAGCAGCCAUGGGACCAGAAACAGAGUGUUCCAUUGAUUUGGUUCUGGAUGAUGGUACCAGUCCUGAAAAUGAAGGCUUCUUCUUUCCAGUUGGAGGGGGCUUAAAGGCUGAAUUUGGCAAGGGAAUUGUGCCCUAACCUGAAUUGGACCAGUGAUCUAGCUCAUAAUGUCUCUAACAUCAGGAAAGCCUGGAUCCAGGCCUGCCUGUCCUUUCAGGCCUGAUAUGUAAAAACACAGCAAGCCAAACAACAGUUGAGGGGAAGGACUUUUCCAAGGCACAUUAGACAACAGGUAUGUGCACACAAGUCUGGGAAGAUGGAGAGUAUGAGAUACACCAUUUACACCAGACAUUUUUUCAAACCUUUGGGGUCCAGAUUGGACAUGAUGUCCUGGAAUUGAGCUGGAGUUGGUCUGGGAAUCUAAAACUAAAUAAAAGCUUUAAAAACUAGUAUUAAUGAAUUAGGAAAGUCUUGUAAAUUCACCCUCUCCCAAAUUCCUUGGCUUGAAGGGAAGGUCUCUCCACCUGCAUCUUACCGCAGAAUGGAAGGAACAUAGGCAGUUGGAGUUCACACAGCUUCUUAUAACCUUGGUUCUAAAAGUUUCAUGCCAUGAGGAGGGCACUCAUGUUUUCCCAACAGGCACGGCUUUCUAGUAGGUUCCAAAGCUCAGGGGCACAAGAGGGCCUCAUUCUACAAGUGGGAAUAUGCUGAGGCCACCUCAAAGAAGAAAUUAAAUAUAUAUUUCAAAGUAGUUUUGGUUAUUGCAAACAGGGCUGUUGAAACAAUGACAAAAAAUUGAAUUCAUUCAGUAUAAAUAGCUGCAAAAUGUACCAAGAACGUAACUGUUGUCUCAACAAUAUUAUGCUGCUGCAGUUUCUGUCACAGUGAUUUUCCCCCCCCAAUCUAUUUUGUAAAGGUCAAAGUGUAAAACCAUGUUUUUAAGUGUACUUCUGACAUAAUUCUGCAGAAAAGUAAUUAAAGAAGAUGAAAGUGACCUUUACUCACAUGGCGCAAAACAAAUGAAACUGUUGUAUUCUUUCUCCUUCAGCAAUUUUCUUUGAUGCUUAUGUCUCAUAGACUUUAUAGGUGAUAAAAAAGCAACACAUAAGAUUAGUGCAUAUAAAAUUUGUAUGCAAUUUUGCACCCACAUUUGCAUGUGCAAUUGCUAUGACUGCAUGUGCAAAUUCAGAGAUUACACAUGCAAAUGACUAAUUAAUCGCCCCAUUUGUAAGUACAGUGGCAGUUGCAGCAAUAGUUUAGACAUGCAGUAAAAUACAUGUUUUUAGCAUAUUCAGGUGGUCACCUACUUUUUAAAAAUGUGGCUUUAUAAAUGGGUAUUUUACCUGUCACAGAAAUAGAUUUAAAAAGAUCCUAUAAAGCAGUGUAGUCUUGAGGAGUGAGCACAACACUGGGAAUCAGGAAUGCUAAUCCUGGUUCUGCCACAGACUUGUAACCUUUCAGUUUCAACAUCUGUAAAAUGGGAAUAAUAGUAGUUACUCACCAAUUUCCAGGGGUGUUGUGAAGACUGAUUAAUUAGUUAAUGUUGGUUCAGUGCUUUGAACAUAUAAAACAAUAUAAAAUGCUAAUUAUUAUUUACCCAUCUUUAUAAAGGACUUUGAGAUCCUUAGAUGAAAAACUCUGCUAUAUCAGUGAAAAGUAUUAUUGUUAUUCUUAUUAUGAAGUAGUUGGAGCAAUCAGAAAUUAUUGUGGUCCCCAAUAUUGUUAGUUAUCAUGAGAUGUUUUUAUAAAGGAAACAUAUCAAAUUAGAAAGCAGAAGCAAAACUUUAUUUGUACACUGCUAAGUUUUAUUUAUUAAAUCCUCUUAUAUAUAGCCGGGUCACAUGCUAACUCAUGUUAGUGCUUCAGUUUUGUUUUUCUAAAACAUUUUACAUCAAUGAGUGGUUUAUUCUGAAAUCUUUUUAAAAAAAUAUAUAAAUAGUGACAAAGCAAGUAGUUUGAUACAUUUUAUGGAUCCAACUUAGAGGUCUACAUACACACAUUUCUGUGUUUGUAAGGAGGCUUGCAUAUUUUUGAACUCUAAGUUGGUCUAAUAAAAGAUAUCAGACUACAGUACUUGCUUUGUCUGCUCUGUUUUGCUGGUCCAGAAUGACUACAAGGUUCACUUUCAAUUUUUAUCAUAAAAA
Molecule: long non-coding RNA, 8580 nt
Organism: Caretta caretta (loggerhead turtle)
Lineage: Eukaryota; Metazoa; Chordata; Testudines; Cheloniidae
Source: RefSeq, a predicted model, not a curated record